Molecule: ribosomal RNA, 748 nt
Filed under: uncultured Lachnospiraceae bacterium
Lineage: Bacteria; Bacillati; Bacillota; Clostridia; Lachnospirales; Lachnospiraceae
Description: bacterial SSU rRNA
Rfam family: Bacterial small subunit ribosomal RNA
Source: RNAcentral
GAUGAACGCUGGCGGCGUGCUUAACACAUGCAAGUCGAGCGAAGCACUUGAACGGAUUUCUUCGGAUUGAAGUUUUUGUGACUGAGCGGCGGACGGGUGAGUAACGCGUGGGUAACCUGCCUCAUACAGGGGGAUAACAGUUAGAAAUGGCUGCUAAUACCGCAUAAGCGCACAGGACCGCAUGGUCUGGUGUGAAAAACUCCGGUGGUAUGAGAUGGACCCGCGUCUGAUUAGCUAGUUGGAGGGGUAACGGCCCACCAAGGCGACGAUCAGUAGCCGGCCUGAGAGGGUGAACGGCCACAUUGGGACUGAGACACGGCCCAGACUCCUACGGGAGGCAGCAGUGGGGAAUAUUGCACAAUGGGGGAAACCCUGAUGCAGCGACGCCGCGUGAAGGAAGAAGUAUCUCGGUAUGUAAACUUCUAUCAGCAGGGAAGAAGAUGACGGUACCUGACUAAGAAGCCCCGGCUAACUACGUGCCAGCAGCCGCGGUAAUACGUAGGGGGCAAGCGUUAUCCGGAUUUACUGGGUGUAAAGGGAGCGUAGACGGAAGAGCAAGUCUGAUGUGAAAGGCUGGGGCUUAACCCCAGGACUGCAUUGGAAACUGUUUUUCUAGAGUGCCGGAGAGGUAAGCGGAAUUCCUAGUGUAGCGGUGAAAUGCGUAGAUAUUAGGAGGAACACCAGUGGCGAAGGCGGCUUACUGGACGGUAACUGACGUUGAGGCUCGAAAGCGUGGGGAGCAAACAGG